Molecule: ribosomal RNA, 103 nt
Filed under: uncultured bacterium
Lineage: Bacteria
Description: partial 16S ribosomal RNA
Rfam family: Bacterial small subunit ribosomal RNA
Source: RNAcentral
CUUGUACACACCGCCCGUCACACCAUGGGAGUGGGUUUCACCAGAAGUAGGUAGCCUAACCGCAAGGAGGGCGCUUACCACGGUGGGAUUCAUGACUGGGGUG